GGAGAUUUAGCUCAGUGGUAGAGCACUUGCCUAGCAAGCGCAAGGCCCUGGGUUCAGUUCCCAGCUCCG
This 69-nucleotide transfer RNA is filed under the name Rattus norvegicus (Norway rat). It matches the Rfam family "tRNA". From Rfam's summary of the family: Transfer RNA (tRNA) molecules are approximately 80 nucleotides in length. Their secondary structure includes four short double-helical elements and three loops (D, anti-codon, and T loops). Lineage: Eukaryota; Metazoa; Chordata; Mammalia; Rodentia; Muridae. The record is from Rfam by way of RNAcentral.